This 210-nucleotide long non-coding RNA is filed under the name Mytilus galloprovincialis (Mediterranean mussel). Lineage: Eukaryota; Metazoa; Mollusca; Bivalvia; Mytilida; Mytilidae. The record is from RNAcentral.
AAAUGACAUGACUUUAGAAGCCACUCAUACAGCCAUUGAUAUGUAUGCUGAUGAUACAACACUUCAUACAUAUGGAACAAAUAAGGAAGAGAUAGAAAGAAAACUAAAUUACGAUGCCAACACCAUAAAUAAUUGGUGUCUGAACAAUAGGAUGGUUAUAAAUCCCUUAAAAACUACUUCUAUGUUGAUUGGAACAAAUAAGAAACGGAC